GAUGAACGCUGGCGGCGCGCCUAACACAUGCAAGUCGAACGGCACCCCUCCUCGGAGGGAAGCGAGUGGCGAACGGCUGAGUAACACGUGGAGAACCUGCCCCCUCCCCCGGGAUAGCCGCCCGAAAGGACGGGUAAUACCGGAUACCCCGGGGUGCCGCAUGGCACCCCGGCUAAAGCCCCGACGGGAGGGGAUGGCUCCGCGGCCCAUCAGGUAGACGGCGGGGUGACGGCCCACCGUGCCGACAACGGGUAGCCGGGUUGCGAGACCGACCGGCCCGAUUGGGACUGAGGCACGGCCCGGACUCCUACGGGAGGCAGCAGUGGGGAAUCUUGCGCAAUGGGGGGAACCCUGACGCAGCGACGCCGCGUGCGGGACGGAGGCCUUCGGGUCGUAAACCGCUUUCAGCAGGGAAGAGUCAAGACUGUACCUGCAGAAGAAGCCCCGGCUAACUACGUG
This 459-nucleotide ribosomal RNA is filed under the name uncultured bacterium. RNAcentral describes it as "partial 16S ribosomal RNA". It matches the Rfam family "Bacterial small subunit ribosomal RNA", at positions 28 to 507 of the family's 1533-position model. The record is from RNAcentral.